GAUUAGGGCAGAAUAAGGGGAACCAGGAAGUGCUGGAUUGUAAGUAGAAUGAUCAGGGAAGACAUGACUGAAAUGAUGCUUUCUGGGUAAAGAUUGAAGGAUAUGAGGAGAGGGUCAUGUAGCUGUUUGAUCGAAGAGCAUUCUUGGCAGAGGAAAUGCCAGGCCAAAGUCUCUAUGGCAGGACUACACUAGGAGAGAUAAAAUGUUCUACAGGAAUCAAAGCUUGUCAUUCACUCAGGCCCUCACUUGGUGGCAGUAUGUUAGAGAAGACUGCUUGUUCCAGAGCCUGGUUCUCAGCUUUGCAAUCUACAGAUGGUUCAUUCUAGCCACGUGUGCAAGGAUGUGAUAUACUAGAGUGCACAUUGAUUACUUGAACUUCCUUGAAAUAUCAUUUUCAAGACAAGACUACUAAGGACUAAUCUUCAUCAUCAUCAUCAUCAUUAACAUAAUCACAGCUGACAUUUACUGAACAUUAGCAAUGUGGUAAGCACUGCAGUAGGAGUUUUCACGUGUCUACUCAUGUAAUCCUCAAUGCAACCUUAAAGAAGACUACAAUGCCAGCAUCUGGGAUAACUACUAGAAUGUUCUCUGCCAUCCACUAAGCAUUGAAUCCCUCCAGACACUGUUACAACAGACAAAAACCUGUACUGGGCUACUGACAACAAAGCUGUGGCAAAUCUCUGGAAAAGCCCAACAUUCGGCUGUGGGAGAAAGAAGAGAAUUAUCCAAAAUAGAGUGAGCAGGAAAGGCUCCAAGGAUGUGAAGAAAACGAGGCCAGAGUGCUCUGGAGGCCAACAGGAAGGUAGUCUCCAGAAUUGUGCAAGUGACGUACUUUCAGGUUUGCUGCCAUUCACAACAGACAACCUACCAGCUUUCAUGGUCUAAAGAGGGCUUAAAUUUAAUUUGCAAAUAUCUUCAGAGAAGAAAUACAGUCUCUACAGUCUAUACUGAGUUAUAAGUGACUGAUACCAGCUCUUCAUUAGAAGGUUGUUCUUUCUUCUAUUUGCCAUGAACUACAGGGGUCAAAAGAAGGGUUAGCACUAUCCUAGCUCCCUGUUAAUUCUUGCAAAUCAGCACUCUUUUAUAACCCUUUGUAACAUCCCAUUUCAAUGCAUAAUAGAAGGUAUGCAGUCUUCCACCUCCUCAUUGGUGGGUGCCAUUUACACACUCCUGGCCAAUCCCCUCAUUCAUGAAUGAUAUUCAUACCUUCCUUAAAGUCAUCAUGCUUAAUGUCUUCUAUAGCAUUGAAUAAACUCUGUACUAUUUCCUUCACAGUGA
Long non-coding RNA from Homo sapiens (human), 1278 nucleotides. Ensembl annotates it as long intergenic non-protein coding RNA 1594. The record is from Ensembl. NCBI's taxonomy places the organism in Eukaryota, Metazoa, Chordata, Mammalia, Primates, Hominidae.